CAGGAUGCUUGUUUCUGUCUCUCUUAAUAUCUUUCAUCUAGAUUCCAAACUAUUUUACAACUGGAGAAUCAAAUUCUGCCCAGAUACUCUAUUGAUCAUCAAGGUAGCUUAAACAAUUAAAAGACACCCUACUUAGCAUCUCUCCAUGGCAAGAAAUCACAAGCCACCAAUCUUUGAGAGCAAGACAUCCAAAGAAAGCUGUAGAGGAGAAGAGGCCAUGGGUUCCUUCCCUCAUACUGGUCAGCAGCAGCUUGAGUUGCAGGCAACAGCCUCAUUAACCUUCUCGCAAAACUGGUCAUGAGCUCCAGGGAUGAUCCCCGCCCCCGAGAACCUCAAGGGUUUCCACCAGACCGCAUCACGGAGUCUCGGCUCCUCUGGACUCACUGCUGAGG
This is a long non-coding RNA of Alligator sinensis (Chinese alligator), 392 nucleotides long. RefSeq lists it as uncharacterized. NCBI's taxonomy places the organism in Eukaryota, Metazoa, Chordata, Crocodylia, Alligatoridae. The transcript has 3 exons. The record is from RefSeq and is a predicted model, not a curated record.